UACGGAGGGUGCAAGCGUUAUCCGGAUGCAUUGGGUUUAAAGGGUGCGUAGGCUGGGCGGUAAGUCAGUGGUGAAAUCCUGCAGCUUAACUGUAGAAUUGCCAUUGAUACUGCCGUCCUUGAGUGCGCUCGACGUGGGCGGAAUGUGCCGUGUAGCGGUGAAAUGCUUAGAUAUGGCACAGAACACCGAUAGUGAAGACAGCUCACGAGGGCGUUACUGACGCUGAGGCACGAAAGCGUGGGGAUCGAACAGG
RNAcentral lists this ribosomal RNA (253 nucleotides) under uncultured bacterium. RNAcentral's name for it is "partial 16S ribosomal RNA". It matches the Rfam family "Bacterial small subunit ribosomal RNA", at positions 524 to 776 of the family's 1533-position model. The record is from RNAcentral.